RNAcentral lists this transfer RNA (85 nucleotides) under Felis catus (domestic cat). It matches the Rfam family "tRNA". From Rfam's summary of the family: Transfer RNA (tRNA) molecules are approximately 80 nucleotides in length. Their secondary structure includes four short double-helical elements and three loops (D, anti-codon, and T loops). The record is from Rfam by way of RNAcentral. Lineage: Eukaryota; Metazoa; Chordata; Mammalia; Carnivora; Felidae. RNAcentral also lists the same sequence under 2 other names.
GCCUGGGUGGCUCAGUCGGUUAAGCGGCCGACUUUGGCUCGGGUCAUGAUCACAUGGUUUGUGAGUUCAAGCCCUGCUCCAGGCU